RNAcentral lists this ribosomal RNA (465 nucleotides) under Vreelandella stevensii. Its description in RNAcentral is "partial 16S ribosomal RNA". It matches the Rfam family "Bacterial small subunit ribosomal RNA", at positions 338 to 795 of the family's 1533-position model. The record is from RNAcentral. Lineage: Bacteria; Pseudomonadati; Pseudomonadota; Gammaproteobacteria; Oceanospirillales; Halomonadaceae.
CCUACGGGAGGCUGCAGUGGGGAAUAUUGGACAAUGGGCGAAAGCCUGAUCCAGCCAUGCCGCGUGUGUGAAGAAGGCCUUCGGGUUGUAAAGCACUUUCAGUGGGGAAGAAAGCCUUGGGGCUAAUACCCUCGAGGAAGGACAUCACCCACAGAAGAAGCACCGGCUAACUCCGUGCCAGCAGCCGCGGUAAUACGGAGGGUGCGAGCGUUAAUCGGAAUUACUGGGCGUAAAGCGCGCGUAGGCGGUCUGAUAAGCCGGUUGUGAAAGCCCCGGGCUCAACCUGGGAACGGCAUCCGGAACUGUCAGGCUAGAGUGCCGGAGAGGAAGGUAGAAUUCCCGGUGUAGCGGUGAAAUGCGUAGAGAUCGGGAGGAAUACCAGUGGCGAAGGCGGCCUUCUGGACUGACACUGACGCUGAGGUGCGAAAGCGUGGGUAGCAAACAGGAUUAGAUACCCCGGUAGUC